AUGCCUAACACAUGCAAGUCGAACGCUUGGGAGCGAUCCCGAGAGUGGCGGACGGGUGAGUAACGCGUGGGAACCUGCCCUGGAGUGUGGGAUAACCGAUGGAAACGUCGGCUAAUACCGCAUACGACCUGAGGGUGAAAGAUUUAUCGCUCUAGGAGGGGCCCGCGUCGGAUUAGCUAGUUGGUGGGGUAAAGGCCUACCAAGGCGAUGAUCCGUAGCUGGCCUGAGAGGAUGAUCAGCCACACUGGGACUGAGACACGGGCCAGA
This 267-nucleotide ribosomal RNA is filed under the name uncultured bacterium. RNAcentral describes it as "partial 16S ribosomal RNA". It matches the Rfam family "Bacterial small subunit ribosomal RNA", at positions 45 to 335 of the family's 1533-position model. The record is from RNAcentral.